Molecule: transfer RNA, 71 nt
Filed under: Conexibacter sp. W3-3-2
Lineage: Bacteria; Bacillati; Actinomycetota; Thermoleophilia; Solirubrobacterales; Conexibacteraceae
Description: tRNA-Gly
Rfam family: tRNA
About the family: Transfer RNA (tRNA) molecules are approximately 80 nucleotides in length. Their secondary structure includes four short double-helical elements and three loops (D, anti-codon, and T loops).
Source: RNAcentral
GCGUGUCGCUUCGUUGGUAGAGCGUCAGCCUUCCAAGCUGAAUGUCGCCGGUUCGAACCCGGUCGCCCGCU